CCUACGGGAGGCAGCAGUGGGGAAUAUUGGGCAAUGGGCGCAAGCCUGACCCAGCAACGCCGCGUGAAGGAAGAAGGCUUUCGGGUUGUAAACUUCUUUUGUCAGGGACGAAGCAAGUGACGGUACAUGACGAAUAAGCCACGGCUAACUACGUGACAGCAGCCGCGGUAAGAAGGAGGUGGCAAGCGUUAUCCGGAUUUACUGGGUGUAAAGGGCGUGUAGGCGGGACUGCAAGGCAGAUGUGAAAACCCCGGGCUCAACCUGUGGCCUGCAUUUGAAACUGUAGUUCUUGAGUACUGGAGAGGCAGACGGAAUUCCUAGUGUAGCGGUGAAAUGCGUAGAUAUUAGGAGGAACACCAGUGGCGAAGGCGGUCUGCUGGACAGCAACUGACGCUGAGGCGCGAAAGCGUGGGGAGCAAACAGGAUUAGAUACCCUGGUAGUC
Molecule: ribosomal RNA, 443 nt
Filed under: uncultured bacterium
Lineage: Bacteria
Description: partial 16S ribosomal RNA
Rfam family: Bacterial small subunit ribosomal RNA
Source: RNAcentral